Molecule: long non-coding RNA, 308 nt
Organism: Malaya genurostris
Lineage: Eukaryota; Metazoa; Arthropoda; Insecta; Diptera; Culicidae
Exons: 2
Source: RefSeq, a predicted model, not a curated record
GGGCUAGGUACACUAGAACAGUUCCGCGACUCUUUCCAACAUGGACAUCAAAAUCUUUCUGAUUUGUGCAUUUCUUCUGUUUGGCCUGAUUUCCGCCAAUGCCCAGGAUCCAUGGGGAAACGCGUUGAGACGAAUUCCAUUUCCCCCGAGAGAUGAAGAAUCGCCGUGAAAAGCACCAAGAGAUAGAGAGAGACGAAAUCCACCGCCUCCAUUUUAAAUAUAAUAAUGAAAUACAAUAAUUCAAACUAUUUUUCUGAGCCAAAAUCGAAAAAAUAAAUUCAAAUAAAACAAUAUUUUUGACAAACCGA